RNAcentral lists this microRNA precursor (193 nucleotides) under Oryza sativa Japonica Group (Japanese rice). RNAcentral describes it as "MIR812 microRNA precursor family". It matches the Rfam family "MIR812 microRNA precursor family". Lineage: Eukaryota; Viridiplantae; Streptophyta; Magnoliopsida; Poales; Poaceae. The record is from Rfam by way of RNAcentral.
AAAAAGACAAACCCUGGUUUUCGUGUCCAACGUUUAACCGUCCGUCUUAUUUGAAAAAAUUAAAAAGAUAAGUCACGCAUAAAGUAUUAAUCAUGUUUUAUCAUCUAACAACAAUGAAAGUACUAACUAUAAAAAAAUUUCACAUAAGACGGACAGUCAAACGUUGGCACGGGAACCCACGGUUUGUAUUUUU